UUUUUUUUAUUUUAAUAGUUUGAAAAACAAUAUGCAAUGAAGGCUAACUUAAUAUCUAAAAACAAAGGAAUGUGAAUUUAGUUGCAAAACUGUUGUUAGCUGCAAACAAUGGAUUACAUUCUAGAUGUUUUAGGCUUGUAAUACAAAUACAGGUAUUAAUAGUUAAUAAAUAAACCAAGUUAAGUAGCUAUUUAAGUUAACCUGUCAAUCUAGGAACCAUAGAAAUGAAAUAACAGUUCACUCUUACAGUUAGCCAGAGUUUUGGCAA
Non-coding RNA from Biomphalaria pfeifferi, 268 nucleotides. Lineage: Eukaryota; Metazoa; Mollusca; Gastropoda; Planorbidae. The record is from the annotation of a GenBank genome assembly.